RNAcentral lists this unclassified non-coding RNA (329 nucleotides) under soil metagenome. Its description in RNAcentral is "partial contains 5.8S ribosomal RNA, internal transcribed spacer 2, and large subunit ribosomal RNA". The stretch from base 1 to 120 matches the Rfam family "5.8S ribosomal RNA", at positions 35 to 154 of the family's 154-position model. The record is from RNAcentral.
GAUGAAGAACGCAGCGAAAUGCGAUAAGUAAUGUGAAUUGCAGAAUUCAGUGAAUCAUCGAAUCUUUGAACGCACAUUGCGCCCGCCAGUAUUCCGGGGGGCAUGCCUGUCCGAGCGUCAUUACAACCCUCAAGCUCAGCUUGGUGUUGGGCCCCGCCGCCCCGGCGGGCCCUAAAGUCAGUGGCGGUGCCGUCCGGCUCCGAGCGUAGUAAUUCUUCUCGCUCUGGAGGUCCGGUCGUGUGCUCGCCAGCAACCCCCAAUUUUUUUCAGGUUGACCUCGGAUCAGGUAGGGAUACCCGCUGAACUUAAGCAUAUCAAUAAGCGGAGGA